UACGGAGGGUGCGAGCGUUGUCCGGAAUCAUUGGGCGUAAAGGGCGCGUAGGCGGCCACUUCAAGCGUGCGGUGAAAGUCGGGGGCUCAACCCCUGAUCGGCCGUGCGAACUGGGGGGCUGGAGCACUGUAGAGGCAGGCGGAAUUCCGGGUGUAGCGGUGGAAUGCGUAGAGAUCCGGAAGAACACCGGUGGCGAAGGCGGCCUGCUGGGCAGUUGGCUGACGCUGAGGCGCGACAGCGUGGGGAGCAA
This 250-nucleotide ribosomal RNA is filed under the name uncultured bacterium. RNAcentral's name for it is "partial 16S ribosomal RNA". It matches the Rfam family "Bacterial small subunit ribosomal RNA", at positions 524 to 771 of the family's 1533-position model. The record is from RNAcentral.